This 491-nucleotide ribosomal RNA is filed under the name uncultured bacterium. RNAcentral describes it as "partial 16S ribosomal RNA". It matches the Rfam family "Bacterial small subunit ribosomal RNA", at positions 29 to 506 of the family's 1533-position model. The record is from RNAcentral.
AUUGAACGCUGGCGGCAUGCUUUACACAUGCAAGUCGAACGGUAACAGGCCUUCGGGUGCUGACGAGUGGCGAACGGGUGAGUAAUGCAUCGGAACGUACCCAGAGGUGGGGGAUAACGCAGCGAAAGCUGUGCUAAUACCGCAUGUGAUCUGAGGAUGAAAGCGGGGGACCGAGCAGCAAUGUUUGGCCUCGCGCCUUUGGAGCGGCCGAUGUCGGAUUAGCUAGUUGGUGGGGUAAAGGCCUACCAAGGCGACGAUCCGUAGCUGGUCUGAGAGGACGACCAGCCACACGGGGACUGAGACACGGCCCAAACUCCGACGGGAGGCAGCAGUGGGAAAUUUUGGACAGGGAGCGGAAGCCUGUUCCAGCAAUGCCGGGGGAGGGAAGAAGGCCUUCGGGUUGUAAACCGCUUUUGGCAGGAAGGAGACGGUGUCCGCUAAUACCGGGCGCUAAUGACGGUACCUGCAGAAUAAGCACCGGCUAACUCCGU